Molecule: ribosomal RNA, 639 nt
Filed under: uncultured marine eukaryote
Lineage: Eukaryota
Description: SSU rRNA
Rfam family: Eukaryotic small subunit ribosomal RNA
Source: RNAcentral
UGCAGUUAAAAAGCUCGUAGUUGAAUUUUUGGCCUGGCCAAGUGGUUUAGCCGAAAGGUUAACACUACUUUGGUUGGGUCUUUCCUUAUGGCUAACUAGUGUGCUCUUUAUUGAGUGCGUUAGGGAUCCAUAACUGUUACUUUGAAAAAAUUAGAGUGUUUAAAACAGGCGUCUGCCUGAAUACAUUAGCAUGGAAUAACGGAAUAGGACUUUGUUUCUAUUUUGUUGGUUUUAGAAAUAAAGUAAUGAUUAAUAGGGAUAGUUGGGGGCAUUAGUAUUCCAUUGUCAGAGGUGAAAUUCUUGGAUUUAUGAAAGACUAACUUCUGCGAAAGCAUUUGCCAAGGAUGUUUUCAUUAAUCAAGAACGAAAGUUAGGGGAUCGAAGACGAUCAGAUACCGUCGUAGUCUUAACCGUAAACUAUGCCGACUAGGGAUCGGACAAUGUUAUUUUAUUGACAUGUUCGGCACCUUAUGAGAAAUUAAAGUUUUUGGGUUCUGGGGGGAGUAUGGUCGCAAGGCUGAAACUUAAAGGAAUUGACGGAAGGGCACCACCAGGAGUGGAGCCUGCGGCUUAAUUUGACUCAACACGGGGAAACUCACCAGGUCCAGACAUGGUAAGGAUUGACAGAUUGAGAGCUCU